RNAcentral lists this ribosomal RNA (326 nucleotides) under uncultured bacterium. Its description in RNAcentral is "bacterial SSU rRNA". It matches the Rfam family "Bacterial small subunit ribosomal RNA", at positions 588 to 916 of the family's 1533-position model. The record is from RNAcentral.
UCAGAGGUGAAAUCCUGCAGCUCAACUGUAAAACUGCCUUUGAAACUGUUAUUCUUGAGUAUGGAUGAAGUGGGUGGAAUUUGUCGUGUAGCGGUGAAAUGCAUAGAUAUUACAUGGAACACCAAUUGCGAAGGCAGCUCACUAAAUCUUUACUGACGCUCAUGGACGAAAGCGUGGGGAGCGAACAGGAUUAGAUACCCUGGUAGUCCACGCCGUAAACGAUGAUCACUAGAUGUUGGAGAUAUAAUGUCAGCGUUCAAGACAAAUCGAUAAUUGAUCCACCUCGGGGGGACGUUCGCACGAAUGAAACUCACACGAAUUGACGG